CGCGUAGGCGGACAGUUUAGUCAGAGGUGAAAGCCCAGGGCUCAACCUUGGAAUAGCCUUUGAUACUGGCUGUCUUGAGUUCGGGAGAGGUGAGUGGAAUGCCGAGUGUAGAGGUGAAAUUCGUAGAUAUUCGGCGGAACACCAGUGGCGAAGGCGACUCACUGGCCCGAUACUGACGCUGAGGCGCGAAAGCGUGGGAGCAAACA
This 206-nucleotide ribosomal RNA is filed under the name uncultured bacterium. RNAcentral's name for it is "partial 16S ribosomal RNA". It matches the Rfam family "Bacterial small subunit ribosomal RNA", at positions 568 to 774 of the family's 1533-position model. The record is from RNAcentral.